UCCACUUCACAACAAUUCAAGAAGUAAAACCUUUCCGAAGCCCACUUUCACAUACUUGAGGUUUUUUUCAAGUUGUGUC
This 79-nucleotide long non-coding RNA is filed under the name Monodelphis domestica (gray short-tailed opossum). RNAcentral's name for it is "lncRNA (ENSMODG00000041839.1)". Lineage: Eukaryota; Metazoa; Chordata; Mammalia; Didelphimorphia; Didelphidae. The record is from RNAcentral.